CUAAGGCCUCCUGUUUCUUGGUUUGAUUGAGCUUGCCAAGAAGCAUAAAAAGUCCUGGCAGUGUUUGUGAGAAAAUACCCCAGUGGAAUUCAGGAUCUGAACUGGUGAACCAGAGGCUACGGAAGUGAAUCACGCAAAGAACUUAGCCGCUAAGCCACCCGGCUGGCCCCUGCAUACUUUUGUUACUGAGGAUAUACUUCUGAGUGACAAAGGAAAUCAGACUUUUUGAUACUACAUUUCAAGUGAAAUAGUAAAUAGAAGACCUCAAAGUUUUGGAAAAUCUUGUAAAGAGUAGUGAGAAGUUCCUGGGGCAGUGUGAAGGCAGUUCUCUACAGAUCGACCCUGAGGAUGAAGUGAAUAGCUCUCACUGGACAUGCUGAGGAAGACUUCACUAAACCGACGCCUCUUCUGCCGUAUUCUAUAAUUUUCCAACACCAGAAAGAUUCAGAAAAUUGUAUUCUUUUACUCCUGUCUUCCGAGUUGGCAGGAUACUGUUUAGACACAUUAUACUUCUACAACAAAUUAAAAGUAAAAUGAGCAUAGC
RNAcentral lists this long non-coding RNA (544 nucleotides) under Equus caballus (horse). Its description in RNAcentral is "lncRNA (ENSECAG00000055307.1)". Lineage: Eukaryota; Metazoa; Chordata; Mammalia; Perissodactyla; Equidae. The record is from RNAcentral.